This 281-nucleotide ribosomal RNA is filed under the name uncultured Syntrophaceae bacterium. Its description in RNAcentral is "partial 16S ribosomal RNA". It matches the Rfam family "Bacterial small subunit ribosomal RNA", at positions 1099 to 1382 of the family's 1533-position model. The record is from RNAcentral. Lineage: Bacteria; Pseudomonadati; Thermodesulfobacteriota; Syntrophia; Syntrophales; Syntrophaceae.
CAACCCUUGUCUUUAAUUGCCAUCAUUUAGUUGGGCACUUUAAGAGACUGCCGGUGUUAAGCCGGAGGAAGGUGGGGAUGACGUCAAGUCCUCAUGGCCUUUAUGCCCAGGGCUACACACGUGCUACAAUGGGCGGUACAAAGAGAAGCAACCUCGCGAGGGUGAGCAAAUCUCAAAAAGCCGUUCUCAGUUCGGAUUGAAGUCUGCAACUCGACUUCAUGAAGUCGGAAUCGCUAGUAAUCGCGGAUCAGCAUGCCGCGGUGAAUACGUUCCCGGGCCUU